Long non-coding RNA from Oreochromis aureus, 903 nucleotides. RefSeq lists it as uncharacterized. Lineage: Eukaryota; Metazoa; Chordata; Actinopteri; Cichliformes; Cichlidae. The record is from RefSeq and is a predicted model, not a curated record. The transcript is spliced from 2 exons.
CCAAAUGUUUCCCUUCAGCCCCCCCAGGAGGCGCGCCCCCUGGGGGGGGUGAAGUUUGAAGGUUUCACUGCACUCUUUCCCUUUGAGUAGUUUGACUUUAUUGAGCUGUUUGGUUUUCGUCACACUCCAGUGAAAUAUGAUAUUUUUACAGGGUGUCUUUAUUGUUGCGGCAGCUGAAUCACAGGAAUGUUUCGGAGCCAAUGAAGCCUAUGUUGAGCAGGUUGGUGGGGGCCCGAGGGCCGACACGCCUCAGAGCCACAACUGUCCUGUUUCAUCAUCACCAUCAAAACUAGAACCAAUUCUCACGCUCGUAGAGGGCGACUCCUCUAUCCUCUGACUGAACUGACGUCCAUGACAAACGAGGCUCUGGAUCAGCUGAUACGAGGCCUAAAGAGCGGACCUGACAGGGGGCGUGUCUGCAGCUGUGACCACCCCGAGGGGGUCGCACCUGAAUGUGCAGACCUGCUGUCACACACGUCUCGUGGUUUCACACAGAUGCUUUUACGUGGACAACGCUUACAUCAAAGGCAUGUUUUCCUCCAUACGCAAACACAUGACCUGAGGUACAAACACCUGAACAUGAGCUUCAUCUCGGUGCUGCUGACGAGCCUGAAACAUCCAAGAGCGACAGUAGCCAGAACAUCGCUGCUCAUUACUCAGAACCAAGCAGACGCCCGAGGACACCAGCGAGCCUAAAAGUAUUUGUACGCUCUUGAAAGGACCUGGAUUCACGUGAAUCGUCUGUACUGCUGUAAAAAGCAGAUGUCUGUGAAAAGCAUCUGAUCUCUGGUGCAGACACGUCGCCCUCUCUGCUGACGCUCUGCUCCGUCCUUGCUCAAAGACUCUGGGCUUCUCAAGAGCAGCUGGAUUUCACCUCAUCCAGGAGACGUCUUCACUUUGAAA